UCAGGUCAACUUAAUUGAAUAAUGCAAUGAAUGCAAUAUUCUUGUUCUUUAAACAGCAUCAGCGUUGGACCCGCGAUUUAAAGAACUGCCCUACCUUGAAAAAGAGGACAGAGAACAGGUCUACACAAAACUGGUUUUUGAGGCAGAAGUGUCCCACCAGAUGCAAGCAAUGGGAAAUCAGGAGGAAGACGAGGGAAGCUCAAGCACAAAGCUGUCAGGAUUCAAUGAAGAGACCACAGCUCCAAAUGAGUCACUUCCUUGUAAGAAGAAAGCCUUAGAUGCGCUGUUUGGCGAUUCCUUCACCCAAAGAGAAAGAAAAUCCACAAGCGAGACAGCCAGAGCAGAGGUGUUAAGGUACCGA
Long non-coding RNA from Coregonus clupeaformis (lake whitefish), 361 nucleotides. RefSeq lists it as uncharacterized. NCBI's taxonomy places the organism in Eukaryota, Metazoa, Chordata, Actinopteri, Salmoniformes, Salmonidae. The transcript has 3 exons. The record is from RefSeq and is a predicted model, not a curated record.